GGACGAACGCUGGCGGCGUGCCUAAUACAUGCAAGUCGAACGCACUGACGGAGAACUUGUUCUCUUGACGUGAGUGGCGCACGGGUGAGUAACACGUGGGAAACCUACCCUUCAGCGGGGGAUAACCAUCGGAAACGAUGACUAAUACCGCAUAGACGACAGAACCGCCUGGUUCAAUCGGGAAAGACGGCUUCGGCUGUCACUGAAGGAUGGUCCCGCGCUGCAUUAGCUAGUUGGUAAGGUAACGGCUUACCAAGGCGAUGAUGCAUAGCCGACCUGAGAGGGUGAUCGGCCACAUUGGGACUGAGACACGGCCCAAACUCCUACGGGAGGCAGCAGUAGGGAAUCUUCCGCAAUGGACGCAAGUCUGACGGAGCAACGCCGCGUGUGUGAAGAAGGUUUUCGGAUCGUAAAGCACUGUUAUUAGAGAAGAACAGCCGAUAGAGUAACUGUUAUCGGUUUGACGGUAUCUAACCAGAAAGUGACGGCUAACUACGUGCCAGCAGCCGCGGUAAUACGUAGGUCACAAGCGUUGUCCGGAUUUAUUGGGCGUAAAGGGAGCGCAGGCGGUUUGUUAAGUCUGAUGUGAAAGCCCACGGCUCAACCGUGGAACGGCAUUGGAAAUCUGGCAAAGCUUGAGUAUAGAAGAGGAAAGUGGAAUUGCCAUGUGUAGCGGUGAAAUGCGUAGAUAUAUGGAGGAACACCAGUGGCGAAGGCGACUUUCUGGUCUAUAACUGACG
RNAcentral lists this ribosomal RNA (740 nucleotides) under swine manure pit bacterium TME2. Its description in RNAcentral is "bacterial SSU rRNA". It matches the Rfam family "Bacterial small subunit ribosomal RNA", at positions 27 to 745 of the family's 1533-position model. The record is from RNAcentral.